UUUUUUUUUUUUUUUUUUGCUUGCAGUCUAGGAACUGGCCGAGUAUAGUACAAAAUGUUUCAUAGCCAUCAUAAUGCUCCAACUCGAUCGUUUAUGUCGUUUGGUUUCAUAGCACCGUUCUCCUUGUGCAUUUUAUUAUUUUCAUUUUCAUUUUGGUGGAAGCUGUAUUUUAUUUUUCACUCCUGAUGUUGGAAGUAGAUAGGAGUGUAAAUGGGCCGACUGCUAGAUUAUUUGCAUUGCUCUUUAUUAUGCUUUUGCUAUGCCAUGUUAAAGAAAUAGUCCAUUUAUUAUUUGAAGGAACAUGUAAUAACUAACGAUCAUUGCCUAAUUCCUUAGUCCAGUAACGAAGAUGUAUUAAAAAAAAAUUUGAUGACAGCUGGGUAGUAUCUCCAUCGGCU
Molecule: unclassified non-coding RNA, 398 nt
Filed under: Hevea brasiliensis (rubber tree)
Lineage: Eukaryota; Viridiplantae; Streptophyta; Magnoliopsida; Malpighiales; Euphorbiaceae
Source: RNAcentral